CCAUCUGGACUGAUUAGUUGCAGAACUAGGACGUUUUCUUGGACGUCAACAGCACAGAAUACCAAAAGCUAACCAUCUUUUAUUUUUCAAACUGAUAAUUUGUUUUUAAUUCCUACUGAUCAAUAUUUUUGAUUCAAACCAUUUUUUGUCCUUGCACACACAUCAAGCUGUCAUGUAUACCUUCUUUGAAGAAGUAGCAAUCAUCUCAUCAUAUACAUAAUUUUUUCCACAUAAUACAUGUACAUGGAUAACAUAUACAGCACACCGACUACACAUUUUCUUACAUGAAUGACAUACACCACACCGACUGCACAUUUUCUUGCUAUUAGAAGCCUCUUCAGAUUUAAAGGUUUGUACUGGGCAUAACAAAUUAGCCAACAACCGAAUUACGAAGGUCAAAGUUCUUGAAUUACAGACCAAAAAACAAGCAAACAAAGAAUAAAUAGAGGAUUGCCAGGGUCUAAGAGAGAUCAAUUGCAAUACACUCUCACUCCAUUUUUCACUCAGUAAUAGCAUGACUGAAUAAGAAGUUCAAAACUGGAGCAGUAGCACUUUCACUCCAUUUUUCCUUUCAGUAUCGUUGGACACGAGCUCCUUGAGAAAGCUUGCAUGGUCAGUAGCAUAUUGGUCCUGCAAUUGUGUCGACGUGGAGAAGGAGCCUGCAGGUCAUCCCGCAACAGGGUAACUUCUCUGCACUACAACAAAUCGAAAGCAGUAAAUGUACAUAUUUUGGACAUACAAGCAUAAUGGAAAUUUGCAGAAAUAACAUGGUGUUCCUGAUAGAUAGUACUGAUGCUUUGGGAAAUUUCGAAGAGAGAAAAGAACAGAGAAAAGUGCUGAUGCUUCAGAAUUUAUCAAUAAUACUUGGCCACCAAAACCCCCAUAAUUUUCCUAGCAACCUCGUCCAAUUGCAUUACUCAUAACAUGAUCUAUAGAGAGCCUUACACAUCCCAAAUAAAAUGCAUGCAGAGAUGGGUGGCCACCAGCUUGUUUAUAUCAGAAAUUUUAAGAAGCCAAUGAACUUCAGCUUGACAAGUAGAUCAAUACAACAUGCAACUUAUGUAGUUGCUUAACUCUAAACACAUGGUCAAAAUUUUAGUCACUUAAGAACUAUAACAAUAAAGCAUUACCACACUGAUUUACUUGUUUCACUAUUAAAAAUGGGUUUCAAACACAACUUCUAAGCAGACAGUGCUUACUUUUGCUCUCCCACUUGGACUGAACAGGCAAAAACAGAACACAUCACUUGCGCUAACAAUCCGGAAAUCCAAUGAACACAAACAACAUAGAAUUAUUCCGAUACCUCGGGCGAAUGGCUCUGCAUAUGUCGCUUCAGAUGCGUCUAAAGGAUGCUAUGCAGAUGUAAAAGUUCAUGUUGUUUUUCCACAACCAUGAACUGAUGUAGGUUCCAGGGAAGAACUACUUUUAGUUUGCAAAGUGAACAUCCACACUUCACUUCUUUUAUCUUUGCAUAAUGAGCUAGUGAAAUUUACAACAUUACUUUCUAUUUUUCUUAUAUAAUGUACUGUGUAAAUUUUUGCAUCUGAACUUUCUUAUCAUUUUUUUGAACUUCACUAGUUCACAAAAACCUAGUAUAUUUUCAAAAUAAAGCCAUGAGAAAGAAGAGAAGUAUUAAAAUUAAUAAAACAUUAGAUGGGUGGAUUAGUAGAUGCACGUACACUUCAUAUUCUAAUGGGCAUCACUAGGAGCACUAGCCUUUUUCUCUUUGUUGCUAUACGAAUAGGUGCGCACAUCCUGUCUUUUUUUAAAGCGUUGAAGUCUCAUGGAUAAAGCAUCAAACAUGUUUUAGGCAAUCCAGUGCUCUCUCUCACCUAUUUGCUAAAAUGAACAAAGAACAUGUUGCGGGUUUCAUUUCGAACUUGCUUGGAAGUAAUACUUGUACUCUAGUCCAAGUACCAGUAUAAUGCUUAUAGUCUGUAAACAAAAAAAAGAUGCCGAAUUUACAAACGAAAAGCUUCAAAUAAAAGUUAAAACAAUAGAGAAACUAUGAAGCAAAUAGCAUCAGUGAUCUUCUAACUGAAGCACCAUAUUUUUACUGAUAUUUUUUUGUCAAUGAACUUCUGCAAUUUAGGUACUAGAACUCACUGAUGCUAUUUACUAUUUGUUUUUAAGGCAUUUUCAGUACAUGCCAAACAUUUGUUUUUUAAACACAUCCACAGGUUAAAUAUAUGCAUGUCAAUUUUCACAGUUGGAAGUAAUUUGAGCUAUCUCAAAACAUCAAACUGAUACAUACAUUCAUGAACAAAACCGGUACAAGCAAUACAAAAUCCCUACUGUUUGCAAAUGUUCCAUAGAAUAUCUUAUCAUGAACGGACUGGUGAACUUACAGAGGAUUUGUUUCCAGCGACCUUCCUGGUGGUUCAGGUUUAUUUAUUUCUCGAGCUCUAAUUUUUUAGCUUGCCCGACAUCUAAACAUGAACUACACGAUACUUGUACUGAUAUUUUCUUUGUCAAUGAACUUCUGCAAUUUAGGUACUAGAAACUCACUGAUUUACUCUCCGUUUUUAAGGCAUUUUCAGUACAUGCCAAUCAUUUGUUUUUUAGACACAUCCACAGGUUAAACGGAUCAGUACAUGAAACUUGCACUGAAUCGGUUAAACUCUGAAUAUGUUCAGAGAACAUGAGGCUCUCAUGUACUCUAGGUUACACACCAAACCUAGCUUUUACCAUGAUGCACCUUCUACUAUGGAAUGUAGACACGGAAACAAUACAAUUUCUUAUAAAGCUUCCUAGCCCAUUCACUUCAACCUUUAGAAGACAAACUUAUUUUUCGGGAGAGAAUAUAAGAUGAUUUCUAAACUGCAGUUUUUUGCACUGAAUUCUUAUCACUCUUAUAUUGAACUUUUCUAACCUGCAGUUGCCCAGAAGCCAUCCCAAGUCAGGCUAGACACAGACGUCCGGUUGGCACUUUCCGGCCACCUUGUCGGCCACACAGACAUACCGCUGGUCGAUGUAUCUCGUCGUCAAGGGGAAGAGCCGAGGAAGGUUCCCUGGCACAACGCAACAUGAGUGACCAGAUUGGUAUUUCUAUCUGGAGGUGGUGGUGGUGGGUUAGGGGCGCGACAGCCAUGGGAGCAGGUGCAUCGGGGGUUGGCGAGGGAACUGGUGGCGGAGGGAGCGGGGGCCAGGGCGGCUGAUCUGGGCGAGGUCGCGACGGUGGAGGUAGGUGGUGUCGGUGGGCAAGGGGCAUGCAUCAGCAGCAGUAGAAAGGUUGCAGCUGAGCCAGAGAAUCGUAGGUGCAGUAGCAGCUUGCAGCAAGGAGCAGCCUGCACUCAGCUCCUUGAGUGACCGACCACAAAACAAGAAGUUGUACUAUUGAGCAGGAGGUCCUCGACCCCGUGACUCCUCCAGCAGGCUCCACUGUUUGCCGUUGAAUUAUAAGCCAUGGCAUUGGAGUGGGACGUGGAUCCACAUCGACGACAUUGAACGGACAGGGGUGGUGGCUGCGAACUGCCUGUACGCGGUGGUGGCGUAGCACCAUCGGGGAGGAGGCAGGGUGGUGGUAGGGGAGCAUCACCGGCUGCCGGAGGAUAAGUUGCCAAUUCCGUAUUCUAUUUCUGCAUUGAACUUAAGUGCAUUGUUGAUUUGAAGUUUUCUAACACAUAUUCACUGAACUCGGUCACCCUGAAUGUAUAUUUUUAUAGUUAUGUUGGCAGGAGGCUAUGUAAUACAUCUCAGCAAUUGUUUCUGGGUGAGUUUCAAAAAAUAUAAUACUAAGUGAACAGUACAACCUGACCUAACUAGAUAUGCAACAUGCAGUAGACAUGUUCAGUGUCUCAACUUUUCACAAAAAACUGCAGAUGUACUAUCAUCUAUGCAAAAUGUAUCAUAGAAAUAAUGGAGAAGGCUUAGUUAAAAUGGGAACACCUUGUUCAGUUUUGAUCAAAUUAAUAUCACAAAGAGCACUCGCUACCUUCUCUACAGAGGAGUGCGUUUGUGAAUGGAAGAGGCCUCUGAACUUUUUUGCUUUCUCAACUCUUAACUUUUUGUAUUCUUGUACUUCACCCACCCCUAUAAAUUUCUAUACUUUUUAGUGGCUUUUGUUGGUGAGCCCUCCUGUUUCCCUGAUCUGAACGUUCAUAAGGUUUAUUCUGAGUAUAAAAAACAAGAAAUAAAGUGUUUUGUUCACAAUUAAGCUUAUAAGCACUGCAAGACAAUCAAGGUUGAGAGAAUAUAGUGAGCACCAUGUCUAAUUCUCAAGUCAGUGGUUGGUCCAAAAAAAUUAUGAGGUUAGUGCCUCCAUAGAAGUAACAACAAGUUGUUGUACUAUGUGUGAGAGAUUGUUUGUUUUGUAUAGAACUGAUGUUGUUUUGCAAGGUGGACUUAAGACACUUUUUACAUGAGAACUGAUGUUGUUUAUCAGACACUACCUCUGUAACUAAAUGCAAGACAUUUUUGCAGUACUUCCCUAAAUCCUAUAAGUGCAGACCAAAUACAGUUACAGAAAUACUACACUAGGAGGUAUCAAUCAAUCUAAUCCAUAGCACAUUCUGCUAAUAUGUGUGUGUGAUCCGUAGCCCAUAGCCUAUGUGUGAUUUGUUCCAAUUAAUCCAUGCAUUUUUUAUCCUCUCCUGCCUGCAGCUAUGGCUAGACCCGUUGAAGAGGUGGGGAGUUUUAAGUUAAUGAUUUGCUUUAAGAAACUUCAGACAAGAGCGGAGUAAAGGCUGGAAGGUAAAACUACUAUUAGCAUAUGUACCUUUUUGUAGCAUCUCAUCUCCUUUGCUUCAAGUUUGAGCACUUUGAUAUGGUCAGCCUCUUUCAUUUUGCAAGUGCCGGUAGUCCACGAAUUGAAACUAGUUCUAGAAAAUGGUCAAGUGACAAUACCUCUACUAAUGGACGAUUACUGAGCCAAAUGCCCAUUUCUUGUCUAUAGAAAAUACUAUUUUUUACUUUCCUUAGUGAUGCAACUACCUUCAGAUUAAAAGUAUCUAGAUAACACCCAUCCAUUAAACUACACAUAUUUGACAUCAUUUUCACGCCUGAUAAUACAUCCAUCUCAAAGUAUCAACUAUUAGCUCACAAAGUAUCAAAUACCACAAGAACUUGAAAAAGAAUUUUCACUUCACAAAACUACCAGCUAUGAGUUCACCAAGUCGAGAUGGACAACUCUUCGAGGUCUCAACUAUCAGUUCACACAAACUACAAAGCAUUGAGUUCAUCGAGUCUUAACUAUCAGUUCAUACAAACUACAAAGCAUGUAACUCAUAGUCUAAACUAUCAGUUCACACAAACUACAAAGGAUGAGGAGAGAGAGAGCAUGAGAGAGAGAAUCUUACCCAUCAGUUCAUAAAAACUAGAGAUCAGAAUAACAAUUAUCCAUAAUCUUUUUUUGGAUCCAUCAGCUAGUCUAUGACCAUGUUGUAGCUACGAGAGAGGGAGCAAGAACACCACAUAGCAAGAGAGUUGAUGCAUGAUCAACAGUUCAGGAGAUGGAAACAGAGCAGGACAAGUAGGCAAAUGAGAGAUAUGAUGGGAGG
RNAcentral lists this long non-coding RNA (5498 nucleotides) under Triticum aestivum (bread wheat). RNAcentral's name for it is "long non-coding RNA (TAES_LNC005647)". Lineage: Eukaryota; Viridiplantae; Streptophyta; Magnoliopsida; Poales; Poaceae. The record is from RNAcentral.